Molecule: ribosomal RNA, 253 nt
Filed under: uncultured bacterium
Lineage: Bacteria
Description: partial 16S ribosomal RNA
Rfam family: Bacterial small subunit ribosomal RNA
Source: RNAcentral
GACAGAGGGUGCAAACGUUGCUCGGAAUCACUGGGCGUAAAGGGCGUGUAGGCGGGAAGGAAAGUCAGAUGUGAAAUCCCUGGGCUCAACCCAGGAACUGCAUUUGAAACUCCUUUUCUUGAGUGUCGGAGAGGAAAGCGGAAUUCCUGGUGUAGAGGUGAAAUUCGUCGAUAUCAGGAGGAACACCGGUGGCGAAGGCGGCUUUCUGGACGACAACUGACGCUGAGACGCGAAAGCGUGGGGAGCAAACAGG